This 178-nucleotide ribosomal RNA is filed under the name uncultured bacterium. Its description in RNAcentral is "partial 16S ribosomal RNA". It matches the Rfam family "Bacterial small subunit ribosomal RNA", at positions 1323 to 1500 of the family's 1533-position model. The record is from RNAcentral.
AAGCUGGAAUCGCUAGUAAUCGCGAAUCAGAAUGUCGCGGUGAAUACGUUCCCGGGUCUUGUACACACCGCCCGUCACACCAUGGGAGUCAGCAACGCCCGAAGUCAGUGACCUAACCGAAAGGGAGGAGCUGCCGAAGGCGGGGCCGGUAACUGGGGUGAAGUCGUAACAAGGUACC